ACUCAAAGGAAUAGACGGGGGCCCGCACAAGCAGUGGAUUAUGUGGUUUAAUUCGAAGCAACGCGAAGAACCUUACCAGGUCUUGACAUCCCUUGCAUAACCUAGAGAUAGGUGAAGUCUUCGGACAAGGAGACAGGUGGUGCAUGGUUGUCGUCAGCUCGUGUCGUGAGAUGUUGGGUUAAGUCCCGCAACGAGCGCAACCCUUACUAUUAGUUGCUACGCAAGAGCACUCUAAUGGGACUGCCGUUGACAAAACGGAGGAAGGUGGGGAUGACGUCAAAUCAUCAUGCCCUUUAUGACCUGGGCUACACACGUAAUACAAUGGCAAUUAACAACGGGAAGCGAAGCGGCGACGUGGAGCAAAUCCCCAAAAAUUGUCUCAGUUCGGAUCGCAGGCUGCAACUCGCCUGCGUGAAGUCGGAAUUGCUAGUAAUCGCGGAUCAGCAUGCCGCGGUGAAUACGUUCCCGGGCCUUGCACACACCGCCCGU
RNAcentral lists this ribosomal RNA (489 nucleotides) under uncultured bacterium. Its description in RNAcentral is "partial 16S ribosomal RNA". It matches the Rfam family "Bacterial small subunit ribosomal RNA", at positions 899 to 1397 of the family's 1533-position model. The record is from RNAcentral.